UACGUAGGGUGCAAGCGUUAAUCGGAAUUACUGGGCGUAAAGCGUGCGCAGGCGGUUUUGUAAGUCUGUCGUGAAAUCCCCGGGCUUAACCUGGGAAUUGCGAUGGAGACUGCAAGGCUAGAAUCUGGCAGAGGGGGGUAGAAUUCCACGUGUAGCAGUGAAAUGCGUAGAGAUGUGAAGGAACACCGAUGGCGAAGGCAGCCCCCUGGGCUAACACUGACGCUCAUGCACGAAAGCGUGGGGAGCAAACAGG
RNAcentral lists this ribosomal RNA (253 nucleotides) under uncultured bacterium. Its description in RNAcentral is "partial 16S ribosomal RNA". It matches the Rfam family "Bacterial small subunit ribosomal RNA", at positions 524 to 776 of the family's 1533-position model. The record is from RNAcentral.